This 114-nucleotide small RNA is filed under the name Salmonella enterica subsp. enterica serovar Derby. RNAcentral describes it as "RtT sRNA". It matches the Rfam family "RtT RNA", at positions 1 to 113 of the family's 130-position model. Rfam says of the family: This family represents a bacterial cis-regulatory element known as RtT RNA. The exact function of RtT is unknown although it is thought that it may be involved in changing the cellular response in relation to amino acid starvation. Lineage: Bacteria; Pseudomonadati; Pseudomonadota; Gammaproteobacteria; Enterobacterales; Enterobacteriaceae. The record is from RNAcentral.
UAUCUCUCCGUACGGGGAAGGAUGAGAAGCUUCGACUAAGGUUCGAUUCGAGCGCAGCGAGAAAGCGUUGCCGUAGGCAACGACCCGAAGGGCGAAGCGCGCAGCGCUGAGUCA